RNAcentral lists this ribosomal RNA (80 nucleotides) under Paenibacillus odorifer. RNAcentral's name for it is "partial 23S ribosomal RNA". It matches the Rfam family "Bacterial large subunit ribosomal RNA", at positions 2848 to 2925 of the family's 2925-position model. The record is from RNAcentral. Lineage: Bacteria; Bacillati; Bacillota; Bacilli; Caryophanales; Paenibacillaceae.
CGAGGUAGAUAGGUUGGAGGUGGAAGUGCAGCAAUGCAUGGAGCUGACCAAUACUAAUCGGUCGAGGGCUUAUCCUAAAA